CUUUGGGCUCCCAGGUUGAGAAAGUACCUCAUCAUUGAGGGCAUUGCGGGCAGGUGGCAGGAGCAUGUGGUGUCUGCAGUCAAGAAGCAGAGGGAGAUGAGUGUUGGUGAUCGGGUAGCUUUCUGCCUUCCCCCUUUGACUCAGUUCAGGGCAGAGGCUCACACCGCUGCCUACUCCAGGGCUGCCUACACCAGGGUACGACAGUUACCUCUGUAGAAGCACCCACAUGCUUCCUGAGUGAUUCUAAAUGAAGUCGAAUUGACAAUGGAGAUUACUGUAGCUAGAGUUUUCCUGCCUGGCCCACAGUCAGGACAAAUCUCUCUCACCCGCCAGUCCCGCAGCUGCUCAGACCCGACCAAGUAAACACAGAGACUUAUAUUGCUUACAAACUGUAUGGCCGUGGCAGGCUUCUUGCUAACUGUUCUUACAGCUUAAAUUAAUCCAUUUCCAUUAAUCUAUACCUUGCCACAUGGCUCGUGGCUUACCGGCAUCUUCACAUGCUGUUUGUCAUCAUGGUGGCUGGCAGUGUCUCUGACUCAGCCUUCCACUUCCCAGCUUUAUUCUCCUCCUUGUCCCGCCUAUACUUCCUGCCUGGCCACUGGCCAAUCAGUGAUUUAUUUAUUGACCAAUCAGAGCAACACACUUGCCAUACAGAUCAUCCCGCAGCAGAUUGCUCCUCCCAGCUGGGUUAAGAACCUUGCCCAAGAUCACUCACUGGGUUCGGGGCUAAAGCUUCACUUUGACCACGGGCAGUUUGGUUUCAGAACCAGUAUCCUAACGAUUAAGUUGCUAAAAAGGCUAAGCAAGAUGCAAAAAUGGAUGCAGGGUUCAAAAGAACUGGGUUCAAAUCCCAUCUCUACUACUUAAGGAAAUAACAAAAAAGUUCUGUCCAACCUCACUGCUAUGCUGCUGUCCCUUAGCUAUGAAAGACCAUAAUGCAUGUGCCAUAGAAAAGCAAGACAGAUAAACAGGUAAAUGCCGGAACAUGCCAAGCCUUGGAUAAGAUUUGGCUAUUAGAGGGUAGGAUACACCAACCCCACUCAUUUGAAUCUGAUAUAAACUUACCUGCAAAUGUUUAAGUCUCAAAAACAAGGUUACUACAUUUUAAUUGAGAUUUUUUUUUUCUCAACACAACUCAUUUAAGCCAAUUCAAUUUUGCUAUCAGCUUUCUAAAUGACCAAGUUACAAGAUGGAUGAGUGCUUGCAAAUGUUUCUGGCUUUUUUUUGUUUGUUUGUUUUUGUUUUUUUUGCAUUUAAUUAACAAAGGAUUCCUUAUGUUGAGAUCAAUUGCAUUUAUUGAUUAGGGCUUUGGGCAAUAGUCAACAUGACCGAUUACAGACUCUGUUAUUGGGGACUUUACUUGGUAACAAUUAUUUUCACCAAACUCACUUUUCCUGGGUCACAUUCCACUGAUCUAAAUAUUAUUAAGAAGCUUAGAUUCCAUUAUUCCAUUUUAGUCAAUAGCAAAGGCUAUUGUUUGAGGUCUUAGCAAGGCAUGGCUUUUUUGUGUUGAUAAACAUUAUUCCAAGUCUAGUUCUUUUCUUUUUCUUUUUUUUUGGCAAUUAAGGUCCUCCCCACAACAUGCAAAGCAUGGGAAUUUCAGUUUUAUUUUAUUCCUUUAAUUAUUAUUUUGAGAUCAUUUCAGUUUCAUAGAUUUUUUAAAUGUAUGCAUAUGUGUGUUCACGUGUGUGCACACAUGCUUGUGUAUGCACUCAUGCAAUCCUGAGCAUACAGGUGCCCAUGGGACCCAGAAGAGGGAGCCAAAGACCCUGGAGGCCCUGGAGGCCCUGGAGACGGAGUUGCACCAGGUUGUAAGCACUAGGUGUGGUGCUGAGAACUAAACUUGGAUCCUCUAGGAGAACAGGGAUCACUCUCUUCUGCUGAACCAUCGCUCCAGAUCUUCAUCUGUGUCUUCAGGAAUACUUCGCACUGUGCUGCUUAAGAGUGGUGAAAAUGGACAUCUUUGCCUUGUGUCUGGUUUGGGGCUUCCUGUGAUACCACAUCGCGGGAAGUUGAGAUAUCCUGCAAUAGGGCUGAUGACAUGAUGCAGCCGGUAAAGAUGUCGCUACUCAGUGAUGCAAGCCUGACAACCUGAACCAAAUCCCUGGAACCCACGUAAAGUUGCCCUCUGAUCCCCACAUGGACACUGUGGGAUGUGUACCCUCCCCCACAUACAUACAACAACAACAAAAAUA
Peromyscus californicus insignis is the source of this 2195-nucleotide long non-coding RNA. RefSeq lists it as uncharacterized. NCBI's taxonomy places the organism in Eukaryota, Metazoa, Chordata, Mammalia, Rodentia, Cricetidae. The record is from RefSeq and is a predicted model, not a curated record. The transcript is spliced from 4 exons.